Long non-coding RNA from Homo sapiens (human), 444 nucleotides. NCBI's taxonomy places the organism in Eukaryota, Metazoa, Chordata, Mammalia, Primates, Hominidae. The record is from Ensembl.
GAGAAUACGUGAGACUGUCAUAAACCCUGGGUAUUUUGAAUCAAACCAUGGGUCUUUUACUGUUAUGUGACCUUUGGCAAUUCUGGGCUUGAACUUUCCUACUGCGUCUCUUUGAACUUUAAAUAGAGAGAAAUCUGAAGAUUGCGGCAGCUGCCCGUCUCCUGGCUGCCAAUUGUCUGCAGAGUGAUGUAACAUGAAGAAAAUGUUCUAUAAAGAAGGUGUACAGAGGAAAAACAACAUUCCACCUAUACAAGUGCUAUCAAGGAGAAGGGUGAUAUAUUAGAAAGAAAGGAUUUUGAUGUUGGAGAGACUUGGGUUCAAAUUCCAGCUCUUUCUGUAAUGAAAGCCAAGUUGCUUAACCUGGGAAUCAGCUUCUUUAGUUUUAAAAUGAGGAUAAUAAUACCUACUCAUGGGAGUCGCAUAAAGAUGAAAUGAAAGUCUGUA